UACGUAGGGUGCAAGCGUUAAUCGGAAUUACUGGGCGUAAAGCGUCCGCAGGUGGCAGUUCAAGUCUGCUGUCAAAGACCGGGGCUUAACUUCGGAAAGGCAGUGGAAACUGAACAGCUAGAGUAUGGUAGGGGCAGAGGGAAUUCCUGGUGUAGCGGUGAAAUGCGUAGAUAUCAGGAAGAACAUCGGUGGCGAAGGCGCUCUGCUGGACCAUAACUGACACUCAGGGACGAAAGCUAGGGGAGCGAAUGGG
RNAcentral lists this ribosomal RNA (253 nucleotides) under uncultured bacterium. Its description in RNAcentral is "partial 16S ribosomal RNA". It matches the Rfam family "Bacterial small subunit ribosomal RNA", at positions 524 to 776 of the family's 1533-position model. The record is from RNAcentral.